This 1461-nucleotide ribosomal RNA is filed under the name metagenome. RNAcentral's name for it is "bacterial SSU rRNA". It matches the Rfam family "Bacterial small subunit ribosomal RNA". The record is from RNAcentral.
AGAGUUUGAUCCUGGCUCAGGACGAACGCUGGCGGCGUGCCUAACACAUGCAAGUCGAGCGAUUCUCUUCGGAGAAGAGCGGCGGACGGGUGAGUAACGCGUGGGUAACCUGCCCUGUACACACGGAUAACAUACCGAAAGGUAUGCUAAUACGAGAUAAUAUACUUUUAUCGCAUGGUAGAAGUAUCAAAGCUCCGGCGGUACAGGAUGGACCCGCGUCUGAUUAGCUAGUUGGUAAGGUAACGGCUUACCAAGGCGACGAUCAGUAGCCGACCUGAGAGGGUGAUCGGCCACAUUGGAACUGAGACACGGUCCAAACUCCUACGGGAGGCAGCAGUGGGGAAUAUUGCACAAUGGGCGAAAGCCUGAUGCAGCAACGCCGCGUGAGCGAUGAAGGCCUUCGGGUCGUAAAGCUCUGUCCUCAAGGAAGAUAAUGACGGUACUUGAGGAGGAAGCCCCGGCUAACUACGUGCCAGCAGCCGCGGUAAUACGUAGGGGGCUAGCGUUAUCCGGAAUUACUGGGCGUAAAGGGUGCGUAGGUGGUUUCUUAAGUCAGAGGUGAAAGGCUACGGCUCAACCGUAGUAAGCCUUUGAAACUGGGAAACUUGAGUGCAGGAGAGGAGAGUGGAAUUCCUAGUGUAGCGGUGAAAUGCGUAGAUAUUAGGAGGAACACCAGUUGCGAAGGCGGCUCUCUGGACUGUAACUGACACUGAGGCACGAAAGCGUGGGGAGCAGACAGGAUUAGAUACCCUGGUAGUCCACGCCGUAAACGAUGAGUACUAGCUGUCGGAGGUUACCCCCUUCGGUGGCGCAGCUAACGCAUUAAGUACUCCGCCUGGGAAGUACGCUCGCAAGAGUGAAACUCAAAGGAAUUGACGGGGACCCGCACAAGUAGCGGAGCAUGUGGUUUAAUUCGAAGCAACGCGAAGAACCUUACCUAAGCUUGACAUCCUUUUGACCGAUGCCUAAUCGCAUCUUUCCCUUCGGGGACAGAAGUGACAGGUGGUGCAUGGUUGUCGUCAGCUCGUGUCGUGAGAUGUUGGGUUAAGUCCCGCAACGAGCGCAACCCUUGCCUUUAGUUGCCAGCAUUAAGUUGGGCACUCUAGGGGGACUGCCAGGGAUAACCUGGAGGAAGGUGGGGAUGACGUCAAAUCAUCAUGCCCCUUAUGCUUAGGGCUACACACGUGCUACAAUGGGUGGUACAGAGGGCAGCCAAGUCGUGAGGCGGAGCUAAUCCCUUAAAGCCAUUCUCAGUUCGGAUUGUAGGCUGAAACUCGCCUACAUGAAGCUGGAGUUACUAGUAAUCGCAGAUCAGAAUGCUGCGGUGAAUGCGUUCCCGGGUCUUGUACACACCGCCCGUCACACCACGGGAGUUGGGGGCGCCCGAAGCCGGAUUGCUAACCUUUUGGAAGCGUCCGUCGAAGGUGAAAUCAAUAACUGGGGUGAAGUCGUAACAAGGUA